Molecule: ribosomal RNA, 609 nt
Filed under: Triticum aestivum (bread wheat)
Lineage: Eukaryota; Viridiplantae; Streptophyta; Magnoliopsida; Poales; Poaceae
Description: partial small subunit ribosomal RNA
Source: RNAcentral
AUGAUGCUCGAGUUCAUCCUGCACAAGUCCAUGUGUGAGAACUUUGUUACCUUGUUAUAUUAUCAGGAAUUCAGUAAUAUCCGUUGGCUUUCUCUGCAUCAUAAAAGUGCAGCAAGGUCCAAAAUGAAUCCAAAGGAUUUACUUCUUGUCCGGUCUUUGACAGUCUUCGGUAAGGCACACACAUCUGUGUUGGACUUUCCCAAGUAUGAACUGAUGCGAGUUUUGGAUCUAGAAGAAUGCGAUGAACACUUGAAGGGCAAGCAUCUCAGCAACUUGUUGCUGCUCAGGUACCUAAGCCUCGGAAGCUCUCUUAAGGUUCCAGUGCUUCCAAAUGAGAUUAAGAAACUUCAAUUCUUGGAGACACUGGAUCUAAGAAGAACGAACAUAGAGAUUCUGCCUACACAAGUCAUUGAGCUGCCAUGUUUAGUUCAUCUCUUUGGAAAGUUCAAGCUCCAACAAAAUGUAGGAAGCCGGAGAAUGCGUAAGCUACAGACUUGGUUGUCAGAGAACAGUAAACUGAAAACGCUAGCCGGAUUUCUUUUGGACAAGAACCAAGAAUUGCCACAACUCAUGGAUCACAUGGAGCACCUGACGAAGGUAAAAAUAUGA